This 468-nucleotide ribosomal RNA is filed under the name uncultured bacterium. RNAcentral describes it as "partial 16S ribosomal RNA". It matches the Rfam family "Bacterial small subunit ribosomal RNA", at positions 28 to 507 of the family's 1533-position model. The record is from RNAcentral.
GACGAACGCUGGCGGCGUGCUUAACACAUGCAAGUCGAACGGAAAGGCCCUGCUUUUUUGGGCUGCUCGAGUGGCGAACGGGUGAGUAACACGUGAGUAACCUGCCCCUGCCUUUGGGAUAACCUCAUGAAACAGGGGCUAAUACCGCAUAGGAGCUCUUGCUGUAUGGUGGGCGUUGGUAAGAUUCGGCUGUUGGGGAUGGACUCGCGGCUUAUCAGCUCGAUUGUGAGGUAGUGGCUUACCAAGGCUUGGACGGGUAGCCGGCCUGGGAGGAUGACCGGCCACAUUGGGACUGGGAUGCGGCACAGACUCGUACGGGAGGCAGCGGUGGAGAAUAUUAUACAGUGAGCGGAAGCAUGAUGCAACAACGCCGCGUGCGGGAUGACGGCCUUCGGGUUGUGAACCGCUUUCGCCUGUGACGAAGCGUGAGUGACGGUAAUGGGUGAAGAAGCACCGGCUAACUACGUG